This 426-nucleotide ribosomal RNA is filed under the name uncultured bacterium. Its description in RNAcentral is "bacterial SSU rRNA". It matches the Rfam family "Bacterial small subunit ribosomal RNA", at positions 355 to 773 of the family's 1533-position model. The record is from RNAcentral.
UGGGGAAUUUUGGACAAUGGGGGCAACCCUGAUCCAGCAAUGCCGCGUGCAGGAAGAAGGCCUUCGGGUUGUAAACUGCUUUUGUACGGAACGAAAAGGCUCUGGUUAAUACCUGGGGCACAUGACGGUACCGUAAGAAUAAGCACCGGCUAACUACGUGCCAGCAGCCGCGGUAAUACGUAGGGUGCGAGCGUUAAUCGGAAUUACUGGGCGUAAAGCGUGCGCAGGCGGUGCUGUAAGACAGGCGUGAAAUCCCCGGGCUUAACCUGGGAAUGGCGCUUGUGACUGCAGUGCUGGAGUGUGGCAGAGGGGGAUGGAAUUCCGCGUGUAGCAGUGAAAUGCGUAGAUAUGCGGAGGAACACCGAUGGCGAAGGCAAUCCCCUGGGCCUGCACUGACGCUCAUGCACGAAAGCGUGGGGAGCAAAC